Molecule: long non-coding RNA, 4305 nt
Filed under: Cinara cedri
Lineage: Eukaryota; Metazoa; Arthropoda; Insecta; Hemiptera; Aphididae
Source: RNAcentral
UUUUUUUUUAUCAUUGUCACUGUUAUCCUCAGUUUCUGUCUUUCUUCUCUCUGUUUACAAUCACUUCCUCCUUAUUUUGUAUUGACAUAGAUUAAAUUUAAUAUAACUACCUUGAUCUAUCAAAGGGGAUCAGUGUUUAAUGCCAACUGGUGAUUUCCUAUGGACUAGAAAUAUGCUUGAAACCUAAAGAUCUCAUUUUAAAUAAAAAUACCAAUAUUGGCAUGCUAAAUGAAAAAUACGUAUCUCCAACCUCGACCGAAAUGGAGAAUUUUGUUUCUAUACUCUAUUGAAUAUACUGAGUCUAUUUAAUAUUUCAACUGAAGAAUACGGCGGACGAAAACGCGUCCGUUUUCGAGCACGCAUUCCCACUUCCAGAUAUCGGUACCACACUACCGCUUCAUCCACUCAACCACCUAUCAAUCUCACCGCCGUCUAUACACAUGGUAUGCAACACAUUUUAUUUUAACGUCCUUAGUUACGGAGUACACGUAUUUUCUCGCGCUUAAGCUCCGUUUUAAUUUGAAUAAACGAUACAAUUGACGUUUUAAGUAUCUAACGCAAUUUUUCUGUGUUUCCUAUUAGUUUGAUUGAAACAAUAUAUUAUGUGUGUAUAUUACCAUAGGCGCAACUUUGAGGGUGCUAAAAUUAUAAACACAUCAAAGACUCAUAGGGUCUACUCCCCACAAUUCCCUUUGCAUGACUUUAACAAUAUUUAACUACACCUUUCAUUUAAAAUUUUAUAUAUACAAAUUUAUCGUGACUAUUUUAACAUUAUCUUUCAUACACAUAUGUAUUGUCUGUAGGAAACCUAUAUAUUAUUUAUUUCUGUUCAUUAAUUGAUUAAUUGAUUCAUGGAUUAAAUAUUUAGUCGUUGCUAUGAAAAACCUAAUUGAGUGUUUUGGUGGUGUUAAAAAUCCCCUGGCACCCUCCUAGUUGCUCCUAUGUGUAUUACGAUGAUUUAUUUGACUGUAGGUAUUUAGUUAUUACGACUAGCUAUAUACACGGCAGCAAUGAUGACAAUCACGGUGUACGAUCCGUAACUAUUGUUUCCGAUCAAUCUAUUCACGUAUGAGCGAACCGGCGUUCAGUUUAAUAGAAAAUAGCAAUUUAAGGGGAUGGUUUUCUAUCGUUUAACGAAGUAAAAUUUAAAUGUUAUCAAACAAAAACCAUUAAAAAUUGCAUUUGAAAAUAAUGAGAUAUAUCGUAUUUUCAUAAAAUAUUGUAAUCAAUUACUUAGCAAAAUAAAGUUAAUUAAAACACUUGGAGAUACGUUAUUUUAGUUUAAGACCAUAUUAGUUUAUCGAUAAUUCGAUAUCAAUUGUUUAGAUUUGUAAUUAUUGUAAUUAAAUGUUGAAAACACUAAGAUUUACAGUAGUAGUGUAAUAUUUUAUUAUCAUGAACUUAAUUAUAUUCUGCAUGCCUCUUCUCGACCUUGUCAUAUUAUCAUUUAAAGCCCGCCAAAACAGGAGGGUAUGAACCACGGUUAAAGAUAAUUUGUAUACUUAAUAUGUUCAUCAAAAUAUUAGUAACUAAAUUCUUAUCAUACAAUUAAUUUAUAUUUAUUAUAAAUUACGACUAUUAACAUAGGUAAUGCCAGAUGUAUAAAUAUUUUUUAUAAUCGAAUGGUGAAAUUAAUACCUAGUGAUUUAUAUAUUAUAUUUAAAAUUACUAAAAGUAGUUGGAUAAAUAUACUUGUAGCUAUUGUCAAAAUUACACAUAGUCAACAUCAAUUUGAAGAAAUAUUAGAAACACAUAGAAAAGGUGUAAGUAAUUUAUUCAUAAUGCAAUACAAUACUUACAACGGUAUUUUGUCAGUUUAUCUAACAAAAUACUGGACUAAUAAUUAAUAUCAGUGAGAAAACUGAGACUGAAUCUAAAAAUUAUAAUAUAAAUUAUUAUUUCUAUUUGUUAUAAAUUUACCUAAAGAGUACUUAAUUUUAUUUUAUUCAAAUAGAAUAUAUAAAACCAAAGAUAGGUAUACGAUUCCUAAAAUUGAAUUUUGAAUUUACAAUUUAUUAUUUCUUUAAAAUAAAUGUUUACUUCAUUAUAAUGCAAUAAAUAAAUGAUUACAUAAUUUACAUUACUUAUGUUCACAUAAAUCUAUAUACUAUUUUAAUAAAUUUAUCACCAAGAAAAUGGACAUAUUAUAUUAUGGUUUAGGAGAUCCUUAAUGAGAAAAGUGACUCCAAUAUAAUUAUGUAGACAUACUACUUUUUGGGUUAAAAUAAUCAUUAGAAAAAAUAUAAUGUGGACAUGAUACCUUUGAGCUUAGUUAAUACUUCAUAAAAUAAAGAGUAUUUCUCUUUUUAAUUAGAAUGGAACUGUUCAAAAAAUCUCACAUUUUUUAAUGUAAUUUAGAGCAUGCCAUAAUGAGAUUUAUUGGUAAAUUUAAUUUGCUUUUCUCCAACAAUUUAAUUAACUGAGAUAUGUUUUUUUGGUUAACCCUUCCUACUUUCAAGACUUGUUAAAUUACUGGUGGGGAAAUAUCUGGAUCUAAUAUAACUAAAAACAUUCCAUAAAUGAAAAAUAAAAAUAUUCUGUUUUGCUAUUUCUAUUUGAAAAAGAGACGAAAAAAUUAGUAGAUAAAAUAAAUAAUAAUGUAUCUAGAUAGAAGGUACCUAGAUUUUUUUAAACCACACAAAUAAUAAUGUUUUAUACAUUAUGUAUACUUUAUAAUUUCUAUGCUGAUAAUAUAAACCACAAAUUCAUAAUAUAAUUUUCUUAUAUUAAAAUGUAUAAUUCUUUUUAUUAUUUAUUAGAUAUUUUUACAGUUCAGAAGUGUGAAAUGCAUAUGUUAGUAGUGUAAUUUUUAUUGUCUUUCUUUAUGUGAAAAACAUAAUGUUAUAUUUGUGGCAUUAUUGUGAUAAUUGGAUCUGGAAGAGGGAAUGACUUAAAAUUGGAGUACUCGCAGAAUUUAUAUAAUUUUAAGAAAAUAGUGAUAUGAUUUAACAAACAUUUCAUAUGGUUAAAAUGUUUAUUGGCUCCCAUUUUGUAAUCCAUAAUGCAACAUUUGAUCUGGAAAAAAAAGAAAGAAAUUUAAAAUAUGCCGUUGUAAUCAAAUUAUACUUUGAAUGAAUUGGUUUUCCUUUUUUUGGCUAUAUUUGUAAUGCUUAACCGCCCAUAAACUAGUGGUUUUCCGGAUACAUUAGUAUUAAUAAAUCAAGUAUUAGCCAUAAUAAUUUUUAUAAAUGCCGGGUACCGAGUACAGAAUAUGUUAUUUAGUACCCAGUUAGGACUCGAUGACCAAGUACCCGGUUAGGUUUAGAGUGCCUUGAUAGAUAGUGUGACCAUUUUGUUACUAAGUAUUAAUUAGUAAUUUUGAUAAUACUUUGAUGAUAAAUUGUUGUUAAUAAAUUUUAAAAAAUGGUAAAUAUGUAUAUAAAUACUUUAUCAAUUAUAAUUUAUUUGUAUACCGAUUUCAUCAGUUAUAUGGCUGAGCAUUAAAAAUAUCAACAUUUACAAUAAAUUGUUUAUAUGCAAAUAUGAAAUAAAGAAAUUAUAAAUUAGUACAUCCAGAAUAAAAUGUUAUGACUAAUAUAAACAAUUAUUAUUUGUUUAAUAUAAUUUAACAAGGAAUAUUUUUUAGAAAUUAUAUUGCCUGGUAAUUUAGAACUCUGUUCUUUUUAAAAUAAAUAUUCUAUACUUUCUAGAAUAUAAUAAUGAAUACCUAUAACAUGUUAUUAAUUAAGACUAUAUCAUAUAGCUUAAAAAUUAAUAUUUGAGAAAAAAAGCGAACAAUUUGAAAUUUAAACUAUAAAAAAACAUGUAAUAGCUUACAAACUAGUAUACACUGAAAUGUCUGUUAGCCAACUAAUGACGGCCUAAUCUUUUAUAACUAUUACUAGGUCUCUAUUUAAAUCUACAUUUGUAAUUAUUAUUAUUAUUUUAUGAUUUUCUUCUUUGACAGUCACAUUUUUUUUGAUUUUUCUAUAAAAAUAUUGCAUUAUUUUUACAAUUUUUUUAUUAUUAUUUAAUAUGUAAACAAUUAUUAUUUUUAAUAAUUUUAGUUACGUAUACCUACUAAUGAAUCGUUAAGUUUUUCGUUAUUUUUCCGAAAAAUCUCUAUUAUUAACGACCAAGUUCUUAACUUUCUUUAACUUAUUAACUUCUUAUAACUCAUAUUUACUUAAUAGAACGUUCUUUUCUUAGAUAAUAAUUGAAACAUUCUUAAUUAGUAUAAUAUUUAAAAUUUGUAAUUGAAUAAUUACACGGCAACUAUAAUAACAUUAUUUUAUUAAUAUUUCAGGGUCAAUUUUAAAAAAAAAAAAUUGAAAAAAUGAAAAAUUCAUCAUAUAUUGGCCUGAG